This 385-nucleotide ribosomal RNA is filed under the name uncultured bacterium. RNAcentral describes it as "bacterial SSU rRNA". It matches the Rfam family "Bacterial small subunit ribosomal RNA", at positions 28 to 409 of the family's 1533-position model. The record is from RNAcentral.
GACGAACGCUGGCGGCGUGCUUAACACAUGCAAGUCGCACGGGACUGGGGGCAACUCCAGUUCAGUGGCGGACGGGUGCGUAACACGUAAGCAACAUGUCCAGGGGGUGGGGGAUAGCCGGCCCAACGGCCGGGUAAUACCGCAUGCAGUCAUCGCUGGCAUCUACGAUGACGAAAGCCGGGGCAACCUGGCGCCCAUGGAGUGGCUUGCGGCCUAUCAGCUAGNGGUGAGGUAACGGCUCACCAAGGCUACGACGGGUAGCUGGUCUGAGAGGAUGACCAGCCACAUUGGGACUGAGACACGGCCCAGACUCCUACGGGAGGCAGCAGGUGGGGAAUAUUGCGCAAUAGGCGAAAGCCUGACGCAGCGACGCCGCGUGUGGGAU